CCUACGGGUGGCAGCAGUGGGGAAUAUUGGACAAUGGGCGAAAGCCUGAUCCAGCCAUGCCGCGUGUGUGAAGAAGGCCUUCGGGUUGUAAAGCACUUUCAGUGGGGAAGAAAGCCUUGGGGCUAAUACCCUCGAGGAAGGACAUCACCCACAGAAGAAGCACCGGCUAACUCCGUGCCAGCAGCCGCGGUAAUACGGAGGGUGCGAGCGUUAAUCGGAAUUACCGGGCGUAAAGCGCGCGUAGGCGGUCUGAUAAGCCGGUUGUGAAAGCCCCGGGCUCAACCUGGGAACGGCAUCCGGAACUGUCAGGCUAGAGUGCAGGAGAGGAAGGUAGAAUUCCCGGUGUAGCGGUGAAAUGCGUAGAGAUCGGGAGGAAUACCAGUGGCGAAGGCGGCCUUCUGGACUGACACUGACGCUGAGGUGCGAAAGCGUGGGUAGCAAACAGGAUUAGAUACCCCAUAGUC
RNAcentral lists this ribosomal RNA (464 nucleotides) under Vreelandella stevensii. RNAcentral's name for it is "partial 16S ribosomal RNA". It matches the Rfam family "Bacterial small subunit ribosomal RNA", at positions 338 to 795 of the family's 1533-position model. The record is from RNAcentral. Lineage: Bacteria; Pseudomonadati; Pseudomonadota; Gammaproteobacteria; Oceanospirillales; Halomonadaceae.